This 494-nucleotide ribosomal RNA is filed under the name uncultured bacterium. RNAcentral's name for it is "partial 16S ribosomal RNA". It matches the Rfam family "Bacterial small subunit ribosomal RNA", at positions 28 to 507 of the family's 1533-position model. The record is from RNAcentral.
GACGAACGCUGGCGGCGUGCUUAACACAUGCAAGUCGAACGGAAAGGCCUGCUUUCCCUUGUGGAUUGCGGGUACUCGAGUGGCGAACGGGUGAGUAACACGUGAGUGAUCUGCCCCCAACUUGGGUAUAAGCCUGGGAAACUGGGUCUAAUUCCCGAUAGGACUGCAGGGUGGUGCCUGUGGUGGAAAACGAUUUUCUAGUGGUUGGGGAUGAGCUCGCGGCCUAUCAGCUUGUUGGUGGGGUAAUGGCCUACCAAGGCGGCGACGGGUAGCCGGCCUGAGAGGGUGGACGGCCACAGUGGGACUGAGAUACGGCCCAGACUCCUACGGGAGGCAGCAGUGGGGAAUAGUGCACAAUGGGCGGAAGCCUGAUGCAGCGACGCCGCGUGGGGGAUGACGGCCUUCGGGUUGUAAACUCCUUUCGACCGCGAGGAAGCCACCUGGUUGGAAGGGUGGUGACGGUAGCGGUAGAAGAAGCACCGGCUAACUACGUG